UAGGACUAGCGAUUGGGGUGAAGUCGUAACAAGGUAUCCGUACGGGAACGUGCGGAUGGAUCACCUCCUUU
This 71-nucleotide ribosomal RNA is filed under the name Mycoplasma mycoides. Its description in RNAcentral is "partial 16S ribosomal RNA". It matches the Rfam family "Bacterial small subunit ribosomal RNA", at positions 1463 to 1533 of the family's 1533-position model. Lineage: Bacteria; Bacillati; Mycoplasmatota; Mollicutes; Mycoplasmatales; Mycoplasmataceae. The record is from RNAcentral.